GAAACUUUCCAGCAGAAACUCAACCUCAGAGCUAUUCAGAAGCGUCUGAAGGAGAAAAUCCGUCACUCGGCUAGUCAAUCCGAGAAUCUCUGGCAGAAGUUCACCGAAGGAAAACUUUUGCUCACAGACUUCGUUGAAUUGCUUCAAAACGCUCAGGCAUUGUGCCAUCGACGCCUUCUUCAAGCUGAAAAGAUCCACAAUCUCAUCAUACACGCACAAAUGUACCAUCAAAACGCUGAUUUUUCGAACGGUUUCCCUCAUCUAUCGACCACAAUCAAUGUUUUCAGUGGUGUGUCUCCAGUGUUUUUGCUGCCUGGUUUCCAGUCUCCUCAUUUUUCUUCAACAUUAUUUCUUCCUCCUCUAAAGCAUCAUACAUUUGGAUUCCCGACUCUGCCAUCCCAAAAUGAAUUGAGCCACAAACAAGAUGUGUGUAAAUGCAGCGACCAGUGGCCACAAAGACAUGCUGCUUUACAGCCACUAGACAGGAAUCAACCAAACACCCCACUAAAAGAGUACUGAUACCAUGGGACUAUAAAAACAAGUUAUACAUGUUUCUGGUAAACCACUAUAAACAGAGAUGGUCAUUUGCAAAUUUUCACAUUUUUUUCUGGAUUUAUAAUUUAUAAUUAUGUGUUUGAGUAAAAUAUUGUUUUAUACUGUAAAUACUGAUGACUCCUCUUCCAUAUGGCCUAUGCUGUAUAUUAGAUAUGUUCAGAAAACAUAAUACCAACAUUUUAACACAAGA
RNAcentral lists this long non-coding RNA (745 nucleotides) under Danio rerio (zebrafish). Its description in RNAcentral is "lncRNA si:ch211-149e23.7 (ENSDARG00000096892.3)". Lineage: Eukaryota; Metazoa; Chordata; Actinopteri; Cypriniformes; Danionidae. The record is from RNAcentral.